This 339-nucleotide long non-coding RNA is filed under the name Dunaliella salina. RNAcentral's name for it is "long non-coding RNA (DSAL_LNC000224)". The record is from RNAcentral. Lineage: Eukaryota; Viridiplantae; Chlorophyta; Chlorophyceae; Chlamydomonadales; Dunaliellaceae.
GUUGGUCUGCUCAUGUGUCUUCAGCCUUUAGUGGCAUGCGCUCAGAGGACAUGUUUAAGCAAAAGAUGCUGAGUGCUUCAAAGAUCCCCAUGCAGGAAUUCAUUUGUGAUUUGAGAUACAGGCAACAAAAGGUUUGGAGAGAUGCGGGUACUCUAAAUCCGCGGGCGGUGAACAAGAAAGCAGUGACUUACCAUCAUUGGUGUGGGAUGCCUUUGAAUCAAACAGCACGCACUCCUUUUUGUAUUCCAUCUUACUUAUUUAGGGAUCUGGACAAAGGGGUCAUGAGGAAUGUGAGCAGGUUUAGACUUCGGGCUCACUGCUCAAAGGUCGAGUCUUGUA